RNAcentral lists this long non-coding RNA (862 nucleotides) under Anser brachyrhynchus (Pink-footed goose). RNAcentral describes it as "lncRNA (ENSABRG00000004926.1)". The record is from RNAcentral. Lineage: Eukaryota; Metazoa; Chordata; Aves; Anseriformes; Anatidae.
UUUGUUUAUUAUUUAAUCUUUUGCUGUCUAAAAUGUCAGUUCUGCUGUAGGUCUCGGAGCGGAUAAAACUACAGCACCGGUGUAGGUGCACAACUUUUCCUAAUGAGGCAAAUGGAAACGGAGAAAGAAACACGAUGAAAAACCUCACAUACUGUUGGGAGCUGAGGAAAUUCAUAGACGCCAGCCUCAUAUCCCAGUCAGUCAACAGCCAUACUACAGUGCCAUGAAAGUGGCAAAUUUUAAAGUGAGGACACCAAAUCUUCAGAAGAGUGGCAGAACAUCCUCAGCCUCUGAUGGUAACGCAGUCUUCAUAUACUGACUUGACAGCAGCAACGAUUACACCAAGAGUGGAGUGAAGUCAUGAGAGCAAAUGCUUCAGACUCAUGUGCCUUGGUCUGAGACUCACACUCGAUGUUGAUACAUAAACAGUCUGAUUUCCAGGGAUGUCAAGAUGCAGAGCAAACUACAGACACAGGAAGAAUGACGCUCACCCUGAAGAAGCAGUCUGUAACCCAGUUUCUGAACUCUGUUGUUGGUGGCGGAGAAUUGCUUAGAUGAAGGACUAACUUUCCAUAGGAUUGAGUAGUGAGGACCUCACAAAAUCUAAGAGGCUAAAAACCACCAGCAACCUCUCCAAAAGCGAAAAUGUUGAAGCAGGGGCAUCAGUCUCCUUGGGAGGGACGUCGAGCAUUCAUGCAUGUCACUGACUUCCAUGGAGUUGGCAAAGGUCUUGGUACUUCUUGUACCACUGCCUGUAAGAAAUAAUCUGCAUAUAAAUCAAAUGGCUCUGAUGGUCCCACUGUGCUGCACAGGGCAUUAACUACAGUUCUCAGAUUCUGGGAAAACUCAAGUAUGCAUCACU